UACGGAGGGUGCGAACGUUAAUCGGAAUCACUGGGCGUAAAGCGCGCGUAGGCGGUCUGUUAAGUGGGCUGUGAAAUCCCCGGGCUUAACCUGGGAAUUGCAUUUCAAACUGGCCGACUAGAGUACGGUAGAGGGAGGUAGAAUUUCCUGUGUAGCGGUGAAAUGCGUAGAUAUAGGAAGGAAUACCAGUGGCGAAGGCGGCCUCCUGGACCGAUACUGACGCUGAGGCGCGAAAGCGUGGGGAGCAAACAGG
Molecule: ribosomal RNA, 253 nt
Filed under: uncultured bacterium
Lineage: Bacteria
Description: partial 16S ribosomal RNA
Rfam family: Bacterial small subunit ribosomal RNA
Source: RNAcentral